This 1147-nucleotide long non-coding RNA is filed under the name Sinocyclocheilus grahami. RNAcentral describes it as "lncRNA (ENSSGRG00000004896.1)". Lineage: Eukaryota; Metazoa; Chordata; Actinopteri; Cypriniformes; Cyprinidae. The record is from RNAcentral.
GUUUUGUUAGCAGCCGGACUGGUCUCGGUCACUCUGUGUGCAGAAAUGUAUUAUAGACCUGUAAUUCUCCUCUCAGUCUGCAGGCAUCAUCGGCACAGGGAUCGACCCACCAUGAGCAGGAGAAAGAAGAUGUUUCGAAGGAGGCGGUUCUGGGAGAAGAGGAUUUGGGUCCUGAGGAGCCAGACUUAUCAACACUAAGCCUUUGUGAGAAGAUGGCAUUAUUCAAUCGCUUGUCACAUCCCUCUGGCCAGUCAGCAAACGGACCCCGUCCUGACACACGCCAGCGUAGAGCCAACACCCGCUUUCAGACUCAACCAAUCACCCAGGACGAGGUUGAUCAGCUGCAAAAUGGAAGCGUGAAGUUGGAGCCUCUCUCUGCAUCGCUGGUCCGCUCUGUUACCGCGGUCACCGCCCAGGCCUCUGUUGCCACAGUGAUAAGUGCUUCCCCAUCAAUGACCGCAGAUGUUCGCAUGGGGAUCUCUGCAGCUCCACCCACCACUCAGGCCUCACCCAAUCAGGUGGUCUCUGCUCCGUUUCCGUCCUAUGAGAGAGGAGUUCGAUACUUCAGUCUUACAGAGAGUGGGGAAAGACCCACACCUGAUGUUCAGUCCCCGCCCCCCGCAGAGCUGCCCGGCCAAUCGGCGUACAGCAAGGGUGUGGCCGACGAGAGUGGGCGGAGGGGAAGACUAGGGUAUUUAAGCAGAGAGGAGAGAGACACAGAGCUCCCCAGUGCGACUUCCCCUCCGCACACACAUGCGCUCAGACACACACCCCCUCACAGCAGGGGAGACGCAGAGCUGAGUGGCCCACGGGAGAGGGAGAAAGAGGGUACACCCAUCUCACAGGGAGGCUACUUCUCGCCAGAUGCCCAUCAGACGGCAAGAGGAAGCGGUACCAGAGCCAUCGUCUCAGGUAAGGAAAGAUAGAACGAAAAGAAAAUGGGUUUAGAUGCUGUGCAAACCAAUCAGCUGUGUCUAUUGUCUCUGUGCACACAAUCACACACAUGCUGCACUGAUUGGGUUAACUGGGUUAACCGGCCUCCAGCCUACAUGCUGCUCGAGUCGAAUGUGAUUAGCAUAAUUUAUCAUACAUCAAGCAUGCGGCUCUCUUUGUCACGCAAAACUAAUGAUGCCGAAAUGAAUCGGGC